Unclassified non-coding RNA from Lonchura striata (white-rumped munia), 178 nucleotides. The record is from Ensembl. Lineage: Eukaryota; Metazoa; Chordata; Aves; Passeriformes; Estrildidae.
UUGAAAGCUUGGGAUGCUGAAGUCAUCAAAUAACCUGCAGGACAGGUACAGCUUGGCAAGAGGCACCACAUGUACCUCCCCAAAAAUGCCCUUAACACGCUGUAAGCUGGAAAGGUAUCUCAGUAGGGACUGAAGGGUAGUUCAGAUUUCAUGGUCUAUUUUGACACAAUUGGCUAAC